This 440-nucleotide ribosomal RNA is filed under the name Lacticaseibacillus paracasei. RNAcentral's name for it is "bacterial SSU rRNA". It matches the Rfam family "Bacterial small subunit ribosomal RNA", at positions 67 to 479 of the family's 1533-position model. The record is from RNAcentral. Lineage: Bacteria; Bacillati; Bacillota; Bacilli; Lactobacillales; Lactobacillaceae.
CGUUGAUGAUCGGUGCUUGCACCGAGAUUCAACAUGGAACGAGUGGCGGACGGGUGAGUAACACGUGGGUAACCUGCCCUUAAGUGGGGGAUAACAUUUGGAAACAGAUGCUAAUACCGCAUAGAUCCAAGAACCGCAUGGUUCUUGGCUGAAAGAUGGCGUAAGCUAUCGCUUUUGGAUGGACCCGCGGCGUAUUAGCUAGUUGGUGAGGUAAUGGCUCACCAAGGCGAUGAUACGUAGCCGAACUGAGAGGUUGAUCGGCCACAUUGGGACUGAGACACGGCCCAAACUCCUACGGGAGGCAGCAGUAGGGAAUCUUCCACAAUGGACGCAAGUCUGAUGGAGCAACGCCGCGUGAGUGAAGAAGGCUUUCGGGUCGUAAAACUCUGUUGUUGGAGAAGAAUGGUCGGCAGAGUAACUGUUGUCGGCCUGACGGUUUC